AGGAUGAACGCUGGCGGCGUGCCUAACACAUGCAAGUCGAACGCGCUCCAUUCGGUAGCAAUACUGAUGAAGAGCGAGUGGCGAACGGGUGAGUAACACGUGAGCAACCUGCCCCUAGCUCUGGGAUAGCUCCGGGAAACCGGGAUUAAUACCAGAUACGACCACUUUAGACAUCUGCUGUGGUGGAAAGGAUUCCGGCUAGGGAUGGGCUCGCGGCCUAUCAGCUUGUUGGUGGAGUAACGGCCCACCAAGGCGACGACGGGUAGCCGGCCUGAGAGGGCGACCGGCCACACUGGGACUGAGACACGGCCCAGACUCCUACGGGAGGCAGCAGUGGGGAAUAUUGCGCAAUGGGCGAAAGCCUGACGCAGCGACGCCGCGUGGGGAUGAAGGCCUUCGGGUUGUAAACCCCUUUCAGCAGGGACGAAGCGAGAGUGACGGUACCUGCAGAAGAAGCGCGGCUAACUACGUGCCAGCAGCCGCGGUAAU
Molecule: ribosomal RNA, 489 nt
Filed under: uncultured bacterium
Lineage: Bacteria
Description: SSU rRNA
Rfam family: Bacterial small subunit ribosomal RNA
Source: RNAcentral